Molecule: ribosomal RNA, 180 nt
Filed under: uncultured eukaryote
Lineage: Eukaryota
Description: partial large subunit ribosomal RNA
Source: RNAcentral
GAUUCCUGAAAGGCUGCCGCCGUCCCCUGGAAGCUGGUGGUCACAUUGUCCGGGAGCGUCUCCCGCGCCACUUGCGCAAUCUGAUCGACGGCAUCGCCGAGCGCCACGCCGGGCUUGGUAUUGAACGAGAGAGUGACUGCGGGAGUCUGCCCCAAAUGCGAGACCGAUAGCGCACAAGUA